RNA transcript from Sapajus apella (tufted capuchin), 1111 nucleotides. It is a transcript of the gene named inositol monophosphatase 1 pseudogene, with no coding region annotated. The record is from RefSeq and is a predicted model, not a curated record. The transcript has a single exon. Lineage: Eukaryota; Metazoa; Chordata; Mammalia; Primates; Cebidae.
GGAAGAGCCGAGCGUGAUAACGGCGGGCACAGAGCUAGCAGGACGCCCUCUGACUUAAGAUUUUUAUUAAAUAUUUCAGAAGAUGGCCGAUCCUUGGCAGGAAUGCAUGGAUUAUGCAGUAACUCUAGCACGACGAGCUGGAGAGGUAGUUUGUGAUGCUCAAAAAAAUGAAAUGAAUGUUAUGCUGAAAAGUUCUCCAGUUGAUUUGGUAACUGCAACAGACCAAAAAGUUGAAAACAUGCUUAUCUCUUCCAUAAAAGAAAAGUAUCCAUCUCACAGUUUCAUUGGUGAGGAGUCUGUGGCAGCUGGGGAAAAAAGUGUCUUAACUGACAACCCCACAUGGAUCAUUGACCCUAUUGAUGGAACAACUAACUUUGUACAUAGAUUUCCUUUUGUAGCUGUUUCAAUUGGCUUUGCCGUAAAUAAAAAGGUAGAAUUUGGAAUUGUAUACAGUUGUAUGGAAGAUAAGAUGUACACUGCCAGAAAAGGAAAAGGUGCCUUUUGUAAUGGUCAAAAACUGCAGGUUUCACAACAAGAAGAUAUUACCAAAUCACUCUUGGUGACCGAGUUGGGCUCUUCCAGAACACCAGAGACUGUAAGAAUUGUUCUUUCUAAUUUGGAAAAGCUUUUUUGCAUUCCUGUUCAUGGGAUCCGGAGUGUUGGAACAGCAGCUGUUAAUAUGUGCCUUGUAGCAACUGGAGGAGCAGAUGCAUAUUAUGAAAUGGGAAUUCACUGCUGGGAUGUUGCAGGAGCUGGUAUUAUUGUUACUGAAGCUGGUGGUGUGCUGAUGGAUGUUACAGGUGGACCAUUUGAUUUGAUGUCACGAAGAAUAAUUGCUGCAAAUAAUAGAAUAUUAGCAGAAAGAAUAGCCAAAGAAAUUCAGGUAGUACCUUUGCAACGAGAUGAUGAAGAUUAGUUACAGUAGCCUCCUAGUCGAUUGCAGAUACUUUUCCCAGAUUUGGUGACUCACCGAUGGAUAUGUGUUUCAAGAGUAUGAUAAUGCUUGGUUUAAAUUCUCUUUGUCCAGGUUAAAAAUUUGGAACUUGUUCCAUAUUUUACUAUGACUAGGUUUGUAAGAAUUGACAUAAUAUUUGUUUCAUUGAUUUAAAAA